Molecule: ribosomal RNA, 240 nt
Filed under: uncultured bacterium
Lineage: Bacteria
Description: partial 16S ribosomal RNA
Rfam family: Bacterial small subunit ribosomal RNA
Source: RNAcentral
UACGUAGGGGGCAAGCGUUGUCCGGAAUCAUUGGGCGUAAAGAGCGCGUAGGCGGCCCAGCAAGUCCGCUCUGAAAGUCAGGGGCUCAACCCCUGAAUGCGGGUGGAUACUACUGGGCGUAGAGUCCGGAAGAGGCGAGUGGAAUUCCUGGUGUAGCGGUGAAAUGCGCAGAUAUCAGGAGGAACACCGAUGGCGAAGGCAGCUCGCUGGGACGGUACUGACGCUGAGGCGCGAAAGCGU